This 1198-nucleotide long non-coding RNA is filed under the name Scleropages formosus (Asian bonytongue). RNAcentral's name for it is "lncRNA (ENSSFOG00015027274.1)". Lineage: Eukaryota; Metazoa; Chordata; Actinopteri; Osteoglossiformes; Osteoglossidae. The record is from RNAcentral.
UGGGAGGAAAUAUUUUUUGUCUAAGCAAAUAAAAUGGAUGAAUGACUUUUGGGGAUAUGUCCUUUUUUCAUUCCAUCUUCCACAAAUUGCGCCGCGUUCGAACACAGCGGUGCCGGACACGCCCACGGCGCCGCUCCACGCAGGUGCGCGCUCUUCCACUCGCUCUUCCGCGGGCAAUUGUGUGAUCAGCGGACCGAGAUGCUGUGAGAUUCAUGCUGUUUUGGGACUGAUUUCAGGUCAGAUCCGCGAUGCGUUCACGGCGAACGCGAAUUUUCUGGGUUUAUUCCCGAUGCUCAUCAAAGCGCAAGCAGGUACAGGCACACCUGCGCUCGCGCUCCCCUCCCUACCUGCGCGCGGACUGACAGCAUGGAGACAGUUUAAUCCAGCCGCCCCCCCAUCUCUGCCCAUUUGGACACAGUUGAAGGAAGAAGCCUCUUCCAGGAAACGAAACAAUAGCAGGAUGGAGGGAUGAAGCGAUGGCGGGAUGACGGAAUUAAAGGAUGAGGGAGAUGCAGGAUUAAGGAAUGGAAGCAUGAGGCGAUACACAAAGUGUUUUAACAAAAAUGAUUAUCAAUAUGCAUGUGAAUCAUCAUCAUAUUUCUGCCAUUUCAAUAAGAGCUUAGCAACUGGAAAAACAAUGUUAAUUUCAUUUUUUUUUCCAAGAGGCGAGCAAGCUGUAAGAAUUUUAAAGUAUUUGAUGCUGAAACAAUAGUUGGUAUGAGAUGAAAACUUAUCUCUGACAGACAAAGGUUUUGCUGAAAAAACAGAAGGAGUGUGCACAGACACAUACACACAAACACACACACACACACACACACACACACACACACAAAUGAAGACAUUGUAUGUGUACAGUAGGAUGUGCACUAUAUGUGUGUGUUUCUUGAGUUAACAGAACACUGCAGAGUGCAGCAGGUGCAGGUUAAAGAGGUCACCGCUGGUUGGGGCUAGUGUGAUCCAGUGCCAGAGCUCCUGUCGGAGUGAUCUUAAACUGGAAUGGAGUGUGUGCCACCCACCCGUCAACACACGUCUGGGACCUCCAGUCAGAGUAUCACCUGCUACGGGCAAAGGCCACAGCUCUCAGCCGAUUCCGAGGAAGGACUCGAUGCUCGGGUUGCUAGGGCUUUGCAAGGUGUCCACCUGGCAGGGGAAGGUAUACAUCACUUGAGUUUCUAGCUCAGUAUUGCUUGUAUGUUAG